RNAcentral lists this ribosomal RNA (1435 nucleotides) under Enterococcus mundtii. Its description in RNAcentral is "bacterial SSU rRNA". It matches the Rfam family "Bacterial small subunit ribosomal RNA". The record is from RNAcentral. Lineage: Bacteria; Bacillati; Bacillota; Bacilli; Lactobacillales; Enterococcaceae.
GCCUAAUACAUGCAAGUCGAACGCUUCUUUUCCCACCGGAGCUUGCUCCACCGGGAAAAGAGGAGUGGCGAACGGGUGAGUAACACGUGGGUAACCUGCCCAUCAGAAGGGGAUAACACUUGGAAACAGGUGCUAAUACCGUAUAACAAUCGAAACCGCAUGGUUUCGUUUUGAAAGGCGCUUUACGGUGCCGCUGAUGGAUGGACCCGCGGUGCAUUAGCUAGUUGGUGAGGUAACGGCUCACCAAGGCCACGAUGCAUAGCCGACCUGAGAGGGUGAUCGGCCACAUUGGGACUGAGACACGGCCCAAACUCCUACGGGAGGCAGCAGUAGGGAAUCUUCGGCAAUGGACGAAAGUCUGACCGAGCAACGCCGCGUGAGUGAAGAAGGUUUUCGGAUCGUAAAACUCUGUUGUUAGAGAAGAACAAGGGUGAGAGUAACUGUUCACCCCUUGACGGUAUCUAACCAGAAAGCCACGGCUAACUACGUGCCAGCAGCCGCGGUAAUACGUAGGUGGCAAGCGUUGUCCGGAUUUAUUGGGCGUAAAGCGAGCGCAGGCGGUUUCUUAAGUCUGAUGUGAAAGCCCCCGGCUCAACCGGGGAGGGUCAUUGGAAACUGGGAGACUUGAGUGCAGAAGAGGAGAGUGGAAUUCCAUGUGUAGCGGUGAAAUGCGUAGAUAUAUGGAGGAACACCAGUGGCGAAGGCGGCUCUCUGGUCUGUAACUGACGCUGAGGCUCGAAAGCGUGGGGAGCAAACAGGAUUAGAUACCCUGGUAGUCCACGCCGUAAACGAUGAGUGCUAAGUGUUGGAGGGUUUCCGCCCUUCAGUGCUGCAGCUAACGCAUUAAGCACUCCGCCUGGGGAGUACGACCGCAAGGUUGAAACUCAAAGGAAUUGACGGGGGCCCGCACAAGCGGUGGAGCAUGUGGUUUAAUUCGAAGCAACGCGAAGAACCUUACCAGGUCUUGACAUCCUUUGACCACUCUAGAGAUAGAGCUUCCCCUUCGGGGGCAAAGUGACAGGUGGUGCAUGGUUGUCGUCAGCUCGUGUCGUGAGAUGUUGGGUUAAGUCCCGCAACGAGCGCAACCCUUAUUGUUAGUUGCCAUCAUUUAGUUGGGCACUCUAGCAAGACUGCCGGUGACAAACCGGAGGAAGGUGGGGAUGACGUCAAAUCAUCAUGCCCCUUAUGACCUGGGCUACACACGUGCUACAAUGGGAAGUACAACGAGUCGCGAAGUCGCGAGGCUAAGCUAAUCUCUUAAAGCUUCUCUCAGUUCGGAUUGUAGGCUGCAACUCGCCUACAUGAAGCCGGAAUCGCUAGUAAUCGCGGAUCAGCACGCCGCGGUGAAUACGUUCCCGGGCCUUGUACACACCGCCCGUCACACCACGAGAGUUUGUAACACCCGAAGUCGGUGAGGUAACCUUUUUGGAGCCAG